ACUCCUACGGGAGGCAGCAGUGGGGAAUAUUGGACAAUGGGGGCAACCCUGAUCCAGCCAUGCCGCGUGUGUGAAGAAGGCCUUCGGGUUGUAAAGCACUUUCAGUAGGGAGGAAAGGUUGUACGUUAAUACCGUGCGCUGUGACGUUACCUACAGAAGAAGCAUCGGCUAACUCCGUGCCAGCAGCCGCGGUAAUACGGAGGGUGCGAGCGUUAAUCGGAAUUACUGGGCGUAAAGCGCAUGCAGGCGGCCUGUUAAGUCAGAUGUGAAAGCCCGGGGCUUAACCUCGGAAUUGCAUUUGAAACUGGCAGGCUAGAGUCUUGUAGAGGGGGUGAGAAUUUUCAGGUGUAGCGGUGAAAUGCGUAGAGAUCUGAAGGAAUACCAGUGGCGAAGGCGGCCCCCUGAGCAAGACUAGACGCUCAGAUGCGAAAGCGU
Molecule: ribosomal RNA, 435 nt
Filed under: uncultured bacterium
Lineage: Bacteria
Description: bacterial SSU rRNA
Rfam family: Bacterial small subunit ribosomal RNA
Source: RNAcentral